AUGUCAAAAAUGAGCAACCUAAAAGCAAAACCAGAAUUUGUGUGCACUCUGCCAAAAAGUGCACUGGACAAGCUUAUUCAGGUUAGGAAAGCCUUCCAAAACACUCUCUCUGAAAAUCAACUUUUAAAAGAGGGUACAAAGACAGCCAGACAGCAAAUCAAACAGCUGAUGGCCCAAAUUUCACUGGUGCGUGCCAAGCUGGACCAGUAUGAGAUCCAAGCUGGAAAACUCACUGAUGAAUCAGUGUCACGCAAAGUGGAAAUGAGCAGCGCCACCAAAGAAAAAGGGGAUCAGACUUACUCAGGUCAGGAAAAGACCAUCACCUUUGACCUUGAGAUGAACCGUCUGAAACAGCAGCUUCAGCAGAGGGACAGCGAAAUCCUGAUCCUCAAACAGGAGAAGGACAGUCUGUCUGCUGAACUUGCACAGCUUCGGACACACGAGAAACCAACAUUUGUGUGCACUCUGCCAAAGAGUACACUGGACGACCUUAUUCAGGUUAGGAAAGCCUUCCUAAAAGCUCUGUCUGAAAAUAAACUUUUAAAAGAGGAUUCAAAGACAGCCAGACAGCAAGUCAAACAGCUGAUGGCACAAAUUUCAAUGAUGCGUACCAAGCUGGACCAAUAUAAGAUCCAAGCUGGAGAAGAAAGAGAGGAUCAGACUUGUUCAGAUCAGGCAAAGAUCAUAACCUUUGACCUUGAGAUGAACUGUCUGAAAGAGCAGCUUCGGCAGAGGGACAGCGAAAUCCUGAUCCUGAAACAGGAGAAGGAAAGUCUGUCUGCUGAGCUCGCACAGCUUCAGAAACACGAGGCCUCUCUGAAAGAAACUCUGUGGAAUGAGAAAACACACAGAGAGAAUCUGGAGCAGGAGAAGAAAGUCCAGCAGGAAGAAAAUAAGGAAGUCCUGGAAGAGCAGAAAGUGAUGAAGAACACAGAAGACAUGCAGAAAAAAACGGACGAGCAGACCAAAGAAUUAGCGCAGGCAAAGACAGAGGCAGUAGAGACGGCAACCCCAGAGUCGUCCUCAUCAAAGGCUGAAAUAUCAUCACUGGAGAAAACACAGAAAAUGGAGGAAAAGUUGUGUGUCAACAGACUGAUCCAGUUGGUGGUUUCACAGGCCAUAGAAAAAGUCUCCUCUAAAUACAAGCUCUUCACAGAGCGCCUCACUCCUGACUGCAUCAGCGAUCGCCUGAUUCAGAAAAUCUGGCCUGAAAUCGAGCUGAAACAUUUGGAUCUGUCCCCAAAACGGCUGAAAAAUCUUGACAAGGCCAUUCUCAAGGAUCUAUGCAUAGCACACAGCUGCAAGGACAAACAUUUGAUUAUGAAGCUGAGGGAACAGCUUGAUAAUAUUACUGUCCCAGCCUUCACCAAAAAGCUGCUGUCAUUACCAAGAAGAGUCCUCAGUGUCUCUAAACACAGAGAAGAGUACAAGGACGUGGUGAAACACGUCACUCAAGAUCUGGUAAUGCACGCUAUGAGCCAAGAAAAUGAGACGACAACAUGGCGUCCAGGAACAUCAGAUUUUAUUAUACAGAGGCUUUCCCACAAGAUCUGGAACAAAAUUCUGUCCAAAAACUACAAAAUGUCCUUGGAGAACAUUGAACAACUCGCCCUGUCAGUAUACAACGAACUCCAUGACAGGUGGGAUUCUCCAGGACUCUUAAUGAAGUCGAGCAACCCAGUGGUUGACGAAGCAAUCGUCAAAACCUUCAAGAAACAUGCCAAACUGAGGAGCCGAAACAUCAUCUUUAGGGCUUUCUCGUGUGCACGCUAA
Oreochromis niloticus (Nile tilapia) is the source of this 1773-nucleotide long non-coding RNA. The record is from Ensembl. NCBI's taxonomy places the organism in Eukaryota, Metazoa, Chordata, Actinopteri, Cichliformes, Cichlidae.